GUCUAACUGGGAUAUGAAUUUUAUUUUCUGGAAUAUGAAUUGACUUAACAGAUGCUUGGAACGUCAGAGCAGGGAUUCUAACACCUGCUUAAGUCAAUCUGGCCCAUUGCUUACUAGGAUAACUCAGCUCCCUAAGCCAGUUGCGUGGUGUGGGAGUGCAAGGGGAGGCCCUGGGCCAGGACAUGGAGGUGAUCUGUGUGAUGAUACUAACUUUGGCACCUCUGCUCAGGGAGCUGAGGCUAUGCAGGGAUUUCAGUUCAGUUACUCCAUUUGCUUCUUUUUUAAUGCCUAUCUGCCCAUCCCCCACCCCCCCCCUUUCCUACCUCUUCUACACAAAUGACUAUACUGCUGCUGCCUUACUGGCAGCUCAAUCCCUGGUAGGGAGACAAUGCCUGGAGUGUGGCCAGUAGUGGAGCCGGAGGCAGGGAAGGCGCUGAACACCCAACUCUCAACUUCCUUUCCCACUGCCCUGCCCUGCCCCUCCCUCCAUAAUCACAAUGAUGGGAGGAGAAUGUAGCAGACUCAAUGUCCCUAGUGGGGCCACCAGCAUAGCAAAUUAGAAAAAAUCUUUGGGUAGGGUAAAACUGGGACCAGAUGUUGUUGCCAAAGAGGACAAGGAGAUGAACCCAGCCAGGAAGACGAGUGGAAAGGGAUCGAGGAAGAAAGGGAAAAACGUGGAGGAUAGGGUAAAGGUGACUUCCUCUGGAAUGGAAAUUGGGACCCACUUGGGAUUGAGUAGACGUGGGAAUUGCCUGUGAUCAUCUGAAGGGCCUGGGUUCUGGAUAGCCAAUAAGAGCAUGACAAUGGGGACAGGGAGCCAAGUGGGAGGGGUGAGGACUAAGGCUCACCAGACGGCCUACAUUAAAAUAGAAUUGGCCUGGGAGGCUAGGGUGGAGAAGCCAGAGCACCAGGCCAGGGACAAAGGAGACUGCCCAACAGCUUGGAGAGGACUCAAAAAGGGACAAGGCAGACAGCCC
RNAcentral lists this long non-coding RNA (977 nucleotides) under Homo sapiens (human). RNAcentral describes it as "HSALNT0012681". Lineage: Eukaryota; Metazoa; Chordata; Mammalia; Primates; Hominidae. The record is from RNAcentral.